GGAGAUUGCUUUUACUAAAGGUCCUUUGACUACAGAAGAAAAGAACAGAAGAAAGGCCAAUAAUUUGUGCUUAUACUGUGCUUCCAAGGCACAUACAGUAAAGGACUGUCCUAUUCUCCAGAAACAAAAGGUGGGAGGGACAAAGAAUCCAGACACAGGCCAUUAUUGACUCCGGAACCACGGGCAAUUUCAUUGAUAAAACUUUUCUUGAUAAAUAUCACAUUCCAUUAAUAAAACGUAUUGAUUCACUAGC
This is a long non-coding RNA of Bombina bombina (fire-bellied toad), 253 nucleotides long. RefSeq lists it as uncharacterized. The record is from RefSeq and is a predicted model, not a curated record. The transcript is spliced from 2 exons. Lineage: Eukaryota; Metazoa; Chordata; Amphibia; Anura; Bombinatoridae.